This is a long non-coding RNA of Beta vulgaris subsp. vulgaris (sugar beet), 1420 nucleotides long. RefSeq lists it as uncharacterized. The record is from RefSeq and is a predicted model, not a curated record. The transcript has 2 exons. Lineage: Eukaryota; Viridiplantae; Streptophyta; Magnoliopsida; Caryophyllales; Amaranthaceae.
CUUGUCGCUCUUAUACUUGUUAUGCAAUUUCUCUUGGGAAGAAUUUAAUCUCCUGGCACUCUAAGAAGCAACCUAUUGUCUCUAAGUAGUCCAUUAAAGUUGAUUAUUGCAUUGUCGCUUACAUGAAUGUAUAGACUAUUUGGCUCAGGCAACUUCUCGUUGACCUUGGCUAUUUUUUUUUUUUGUUCUCCAGUGAUUUUGUAUUAUGAUAAUGUCUCUACGACUUAUCUCACAGCUAAUCAUGUUUAACAUGAUCGCAGUAAACAUAUUGAUAUUGAUUGCCACUUUAUUUGCAAAAUGGUUGCAAAUGGAGGGCUUAAUUAGUGUUCGACAUGCAUGUUCCUACGAAGUUAUAGGUUGUAGGGCGAAAGUUUGGUGUAUAGUUUAGAUUUAGGCCUAAUCCGAUUCGAUCCGAAUAAAAUAUGGAAUUAAAUUUUCCAAUUCAAUCCAUACUAAUUAGAAUUUGAGUAUCAUAAUUUUUUUAGACACUAGAUUAGAUCAUAUCCGAAUUAUCCGAACUAUAUGAUGCAAGCUAGUAGCUACAAUAUCAAGAGAAAUGCUCCAAAAGAUGCUAGAGAGAAAAAGAAAAAAAACAAAGAACAUCCCAUGAAACCAAAGAACCUCUACGAAAUAUGAACCUAACCCUAAGACCUUCUUCUGUAAAUCUUUACAUCAUGAAUCAUCACUUAUCAAGCCAAAUUCAAUGCAGAUCCAUCCAAUUACUACUGCUUAUUCCCAAGAUCUUGAUAGAAAUUGUUGUACCUAUCCCUACCUGGCCCCUAAUUCGCUUGCAACAUGGCAACAUGCAGCCACCACCGCAGUAAACCUGGCAACGUGCUCACAGUGCGAGGGGUUGUCUCAAACACCACCACUGCGGCCACCAACAUCAUUCGACUUCUCGGCUACGGGGCGUCCGUGCCCCGUCGAUCCCGCAACAACCAUAUCCAUUGUCUCACCCUGGUUGGCUUCUGAUAGAUUUCUCUUUAACAAGAUCUUCCAUAAUAUUAAGUCUCUAUAUGACUAUCUACCUCUUGCUUCCUCUUUCUUGUAUUUUGUUUGUCCACUUUGUCUUGUAAGAGUCCGCCUAAUUUUAACUUAAAAUUAGGCACGGCUCAAGCCUGAUAUUUCAAUAUAGUGACUAGCUUAAUCUAUUUAAGGACCAGAUUAACCUAUUACGUGAUCAGUUUAAUCUAUUCAAUAAUGACAUUUUUUUAAUCUAUUCAGUAACUAAUUUAUUUUUUUUAAAUUACUUGUUGUAGUUCGAUAAUCAAGAAAGAAAAAGGAGAAGAGAAAUAAUGACUAGGAUAGUGUUGGGUUAAAGUGAAAUGUAAUGUGCUCGUUAGAAAAAUUCAAUAUUGAAUUCGUCUAAUUUUAUAUUAAAAUUAGACCAUCGAUUCUAAUAAUUCAUCUUGUUUGUCUA